UACGUAGGGUGCAAGCGUUGUCCGGAAUUAUUGGGCGUAAAGAGCUCGUAGGCGGUUUGUUGCGUCGGCUGUGAAAUCCCGAGGCUCAACCUCGGGUCUGCAGUCGAUACGAGCAAACUAGAGUGUUGCAGGGGAGACUGGAAUUCCUGGUGUAGCGGUGAAAUGCGUAGAUAUCUGGAGGAACACCGGUGGCGAAGGCGGCAUCCUGGACCGGUAUUGACGCUGAGGCGCGAAAGCUAGGGGAGCAAACGGG
RNAcentral lists this ribosomal RNA (253 nucleotides) under uncultured bacterium. Its description in RNAcentral is "partial 16S ribosomal RNA". It matches the Rfam family "Bacterial small subunit ribosomal RNA", at positions 524 to 776 of the family's 1533-position model. The record is from RNAcentral.